Molecule: long non-coding RNA, 620 nt
Organism: Leucoraja erinaceus (little skate)
Lineage: Eukaryota; Metazoa; Chordata; Chondrichthyes; Rajiformes; Rajidae
Exons: 3
Source: RefSeq, a predicted model, not a curated record
CCCUCGCCCCAAGUAGUAGCAGCCACAUACGGGGCAAGGGUGGUCCCGCAUGGGACAAACCAAUUUAGCCCAAUAUACGGGAUGUCCCGGCUAAUAUGAGACAGUUGGCAACCCUCUUGUUUAAGGUAGGGAGGGGUAGAUGAGUGAGCUCUGAGGAUUUGAAGGAGUAGGACUGAUGUUCAUCAAACUCACUGAUAAUGAUGGGGAUUUAAGAAAGUGGUUUUUCACACAUUAAUCAUAUUAUCAUGAGACUGGUACAGGAUGUAAACUGGACCUUUUGCCCAACUUGCCCACACCGACCAACAACUUCCAUAUACUGUAUACUAGUCCCACCUGCCUGCGUUUGACCCAUAUCCCUGUCCUAUCCGUCUAAAUAUUUCUUGAACUUUGUGAUAGUCCCAGCCUCACCUACCUCCUCUGCCAGUGUAUUCCAUACAUCCACCACCCUUUGUAUGGAAAAGUUACUCCUCAGGUUCCUAUUAAACCUUUCCCCCCUCCAUCUUAAACCUAUGUCCUCUGUUACUAUUAAUAUUCUGUUAAACUUAUUCCUUGGUGUUUUACCCCAGGUUUAUUCAGAAUUUGAGGUUGAUUCGGAAUCUGAGGUUGAUUCAGAAUUUGAG